Long non-coding RNA from Leucoraja erinaceus (little skate), 562 nucleotides. RefSeq lists it as uncharacterized. Lineage: Eukaryota; Metazoa; Chordata; Chondrichthyes; Rajiformes; Rajidae. The transcript has 5 exons. The record is from RefSeq and is a predicted model, not a curated record.
AGCCCAGUCACACACACACACACACAGGGCGUGGGGUUUCCAGAGGCGACUGUAAAGGACCUUGUGCAUUUUCCUCUGCAGCCUCUGGGCUCGUCUUGUUUGCACCAGAGAGAGACACAGGGGGUGCAGUGAACCCACACACACACCCACACACAACACCCACACCCACCCAGCAGCCCACAGCCCACAGCAGUGGGGAACAGACAAAGGAGCUGCUAAAAGGCGAGGAAACUCUCCAGGAAAUCUUUCUUCCCCCUUCUGAGCUGGAGGCACAAGUCCUGGACAGCCACCUCUCUGGAAACUCAGGUUUCUGAUCGCCGAGCGGUGGAGACAGAGAGACACGUUCCCUGUGAGCGGAGAGGAUGAGCGAGCUCGAGCAGCUACGUCAGGAAGCCGAACAGCUAAGGAAUCAGAUCAGGGACGCAAGGAAAGCAUGCGGGGACUCCACGCUAACCCAGAUCACGGCCACCCCCUCGACCCGGUGGGGAGGAUCCAGAUGCGGACUCGCCGCACGCUGCGCGCUGACACCUGGCCAAGAUCUACGAUGCACUGGGGCACCGAA